UAAUAAAUAUAUAUAUAUAUAUACCAUUGAACUUGAUGGGAUACGAAUUAUACGAAACUAAUUUCAACGAUUCAACCGUCAAACUUGUUUGUAUAUGCUUCGAGAUUGCAUCAUUAAAAAAUCGCAAAAAAUAAACAUUCAGAGAUCAAGUAACCGAACAAAACUUUUCAACGGUAAUAAAACGAAAAAUCACAACUUAACUGUUAUUUUAACUCCGAUUUUUAUGAUUUUUUACAGCUACACUCCUUGGCCCUAUAUGAAUACAAUGAAUGAAUUCGAUCUUCAAUUUAAAAUAUUUACACUAGUGGAUAUCUUAUGUUAUACUUAAUGAAAGUAUGAAUAAACUCUUUACUGUUAGUGAAUCUAUUGUUUUGAUAGGAUACGCAUUCUACGAAACUAGUUUCAACGAUCUAACUGUCAAACAUGUUUGUAAAUACUUCGAGAUCGCAUACGCCAAAAAUUGCAAAAAACAAACAUUUAGAGAUUAAGUAACCGAACAAAACUUUUCGACGGUUAUAAAACGAAAAAUCAAGAUUUAACGGUUAUUUUAACUUCGAUUUUGAUGAUUUUUUAUAGCUAUACUCCUUGACCCUAAAUGAAUACAAUGAAUGAAUUCGAUCUUCAAUUUAAAAUAUUUACACUAGUGAAUCUUAUGUUAUACUUAAUGAAAGUAUGAAUAAACUCUUAAAUGUUAGUGAAUCUAUUGUUUUUAUGGGAUAAGCAUUCUACAAAACUAGUUUCAACGAUCCAACCAUCAAACAUGUUUGUAUAUACUUCGAGAUCGCAUACACCAAAAAUUGCAAAAAACAAACAUUCAAAUAUCAAGUAACGGGACAAAACUUUUCGACGGUUAUAAAAAGAAAAAUCACAAUUUAACGAUUAUUUUAACUCUGAUUUUGACGAUUCUUUACAGCUACACUCAUUGACCCUAUAUGAAUACAAUGAAUGAAUUCUAUCUUCAAUUUAAAAUAUUUACACUAGUGGAUAUCUUAUGUUAUACUUAAUGAAAGUAUGAAUAAACUCUUAAGUGUUAGUGAAUCUAUUGUUUUGAUGGGAUAUGCAUUCUACGAAACUAGUUUCGACGAUCCAACCGUCAAACAUGUUUGUAAAUACUUCGAGAUCGCAUACGCCAAAAAUUGCAAAAAACAAACAUUCAGAGAUUAAGUAACCGAACAAAACUUUUCGACAGUUAUAAAACGGAAAAAUCACGAUUUAACGGUUAUUUUAACUCCGAUUUUGAUGAUUUUUUACAGCUGUACUCCUUGACCCUAAAUGAAUACAACGAAUGAAUUCGAUCUUCAAUUUAAAAUAUUUACACUAGUGAAUCUUAUGUUAUACUUAAUGAAAGUAUGAAUAAACUCUUAAAUGUUAGUGAAUCUAUUGUUUUUAUGGGAUACGCAUUCUACAAAACUAGUUUUAACGAUCCAACCGUCAAACAUGUUUGUAUAUACUUCGAGAUCACAUACGCCAAAAAUUGCAAAAAACAAACAUUCAAAUAUCAAGUAACGGGACAAAACCUUUCGACGGUUAUAAAAAGAAAAAUCACGAUUUAAUGGUUAUUUUAACUCCGAUUUUGACGAUUUUUUACAACUACACUCCUUGACCUUAUAUGAAUACAAUGAAUGAAUUCGAUCUUCAAUUUAAAAUAUUUAUAUUAUACUUAAUGAAAGUAUGAAUAAACUUUUAAGUGUUAGUGAAUUUAUUGUUUUGAUGGGAUACACAUUCUACGAAACUAGUUUCAACGAUCCAACCGUCAUACAUGUUUGUAUAUACUUCGAGAUUACAUACACCAAAAAUUCCAAAAAACAAACAUUAAGAGAUCAAGUAACGGAACAAAACUUUUCAAUGGUUAUAAAAAGAAAAAUCACAAUUUAACGGUUAUUUAAACUCCGAUUUUGAUGAUUUUUUACAGCUACACUCCUUGACCCUAUAUGAAUAUGAUGAAUGAAUUCGAUCUUCAAUUUGAGUGGAUACCACAAAAUCUUGUUAUACUUAAUGAAAGUAUAAAUAAACUCCUAAGUAUUAGUGAAUCUAUUGUUUUGAUGGGAUACACAUUCUACAGAACUAGUUUCAACGAUCCAACCGUUAAACAUGUUUGUAUAUACUUCGAGAUUGCAUACGCCAAAAAUUGCAAAAAACAAACAUAUAGAGAUCAAGUAACGGGAUAAAACCUUUCGACGGUUAUAAAAAGAAAAAUCACGAUUUAACGGUUAUUUUAACUUUGAUUUUGAUGAUUCUUUACAGCUACACUCCUUGACCCUAUAUGAAUACAAUGAAUGAAUUCGAUCUUCAAUUUAAAAUAUUUACACUAGUGGAUACCACAAAAUCUUAUGUUAUACUUAAUGAAAGUAAGAAUAAACUUUUAAGUGUUAGUGAAUCUAUUGUUUUGAUGGGAUACGCAUUCUAUGAAACAAGUUUCAAUGAUCCAACCGUCGAACAUGUUUGUAUAUACUUCGAGAUCGCAUACGCCAAAAAUUGCGAAAAACAAACUUCGGAGAUUAAGUAACCGAACAAAACUUUUCGACAGUUAUAAAACGAAAAAUCACGAUUUAACGGUUAUUUUAACUCCGAUUUUGAUGAUUUUUUACAACUACACUCCUUGACCCUAUAUGAAUACAAUGAAUGAAUUCGAUCUUCAAUUUAAAAAAUUACACUAGUGGAUACCACAAAAUCUUAUGAGUAUGAAUAAACUAUAAUAAUUAUAUACAUUAAUUUAACAAUUUUAUACCCCUAAAAACUAAAAUAAUUAUAUAUAUAUAUAUAUAUAUUAAAUUAUGUGUUUUAAUGUUUUGAAGUAAUAUUUAUGUGGCAAAGUGUGGUAUGUGCAAAUUUAAGAAAAAAAUAUAUUUUUCUUAACAGGUCAUAACGGGUCGGGUCACUUUACCCGUUGGGUAAAGUGACCCGACCUGUUAAGAUAACAGGUGUGAUACGACAAGACCCGUUAAGAUAACAGGUGUUACAUGAAAACAACACGAACACGACAGACACGACCCGUUUGCCAGGCUUAAACUCACUCAAGCGUUACUUUGUUUUUCUUCAUAUCCUUUUCCUUUGUAAAUUCAAAAAAUUAGAGUAUUGGUGUUGAAUUUUCAUUUGAUUCAACCCUAAAAAAUAUGUGAUGCUAACUUGUUACAAUGCACAACAUUAAUAUUUUUGACAAACUUUGUUAGAACUACCGUCUUUUAUUUGUUCUUAGACCUACUCCAAUCUUUGAAAUAAAAUUCAUAUUUUAGGUUUUAAACAUACCUCAACUUGCUUCAGUUUUUGCGCCAAAUAUGAAUUUUAACCCAAAACUCAAUUUUUGGACAAAUUUAGGCUAGACUUCCCCCUAGGUUAGUGGGCCACCAUGUAUAUGUAAUUAUUUUUUAGUUUAAUAUUUAGAGGAAUUUGUAUCAAUGGUCCCUCAACUUUAAUUCAAUUGGAAAAAAAAAAUAUAAACCAAGAGGCAAAUAUAGAAAACCAAAUGAAAAAAAAAAAAAAUUGUGGCAAUGGUCCAUCAACUUUAACCCAAUUAAAGAAAUAAGCUCUCCACUUUAACCCAAUUGGAGUAAUGGGCCCUCAAAUUUAACUCAAUCGUAGCAAUGGUCCCUCAAUUUUAACCCAAUUGUAGGAAUGGUCAUUCCAACAUAAGUCAGUUUCCAGAAUUCUAUUGGUGUUGACAAAAAAGACCAUUUGUCAUUCCAACAUAAGUCAGUUAAGGAACCAUUGCUCUAAUUGGGUUAAAGUUAAGGGACCAUUGCUACAUUUUUUUCUUAUAUUUAUAAAUUCAUUGAAUCAAACGGCUAAGAUCUAAUAUGAUCAAAUCCAACAGUAAAAUAAAAAUAAAAAUCUAACUAUCCAAGUUUAAAUCCAACGGCUAAAAUAAUUUUAAAAAAAAAUCUUUCAUGUGUUUAUUACUUUUUCAGUGUUCCACAAGUUUCAUGAUGUCGGUUUAGUGAUUUUUCAAAUAUUUAUCAGAAUCUAAAUAUUUUUAGGUUAAAAUGUUCAUAAAAUUAAAUUUGUUAUAUUCAUUGUAUUUAAAUGUGAUUGUGUAAAUUCUAGAUUAGAUUUGUUACUAGUUAAUUCUCCCUAUUGAUAGGAGCAUAUUUAUGCGACUUAGUUAGCUUGUUUUCUUGCAUUUUCAUGGUUUGUUUGUGUUUAUUAUAGUGUUUUAAGCUAUUUUCAUGUUUUUGUAGGUCCAUAUGACAAAGUUGGCAAGAAAGUGCAAUUUGGAGCAUUUUGAGGCAGUUUUGGGCACCAAAUGGAUAGCUUAUGAAUGGAGCAAGAUGGAUGGACGAAUUUGAAGUUCAAGGGGCUAGGAAUGAGUUGAAAAGAGUGAAGAAAUAAAUCCAAAUCAAGGAAGAUAAGAAAUCAGCUCAAAAGAAGGAACCAUAUCCAAAAUCUUAUCCAACCUUAUCUUAUCUUAUCCUUGCCUAACCUAACCUUAUCUUAUCCUAUCCAAAUGAAUUUGUGCCUUGAUUCCAGCUAUUUCUAAGGGAUAAUUAUGUAUUUAAACUAUAUAUUUCAGAUUCUAGAACCUUAUCCUUCUAGAACCCCUAAAUUGGUGCUAAAACAUCUUUUCUAGGAACACCUAAAAAUCUGGCCUUUUUCCCCUUGUUCUAGAAGCUCUAGAAUUUGAAUCUCAAUCCUUUUCCCUCUUGAUUUAGGCCAAAUGUAUCCCUCUUCUUGUAGGAAUUAGUGCCGCACCUUAUAAGCCUAAUCCCCUUUGGUUUUUGAUUGUUUUAACCCAUUCCACUUGGGUUUUGGUUUCACAAUCCUUAUCCCAUUUUAAUUUCAGAAACCUAUCCAAAUCCUUAGGGAUUUUGGCAUGAAUUCCAGCCUAUAAAUACCAACCCUUGCUGCACAAAUCAUUCACCACCCUCUACCAUAUUUUCACUACACCAUUCACCCAAACAUCCCUCUUGUGCCGUGAGUUUGCAAAGGAGAAGGAAGGAGACUUUUGGAGCCGUGCAUGACAUUCAAGGAGCUUGGAUUGUUGGAGCGUUUCUAGGUGUUUUCUAUCUUUAUGUCAAUGUUUAAAUUUAUUUAUCUUUGUUUAUUUGCGAACAUGAGGAACUAAUUUCUUUGUAGUUAGAGGGGAAUUCA
This 5085-nucleotide long non-coding RNA is filed under the name Malus domestica (apple). RNAcentral's name for it is "long non-coding RNA (MDOM_LNC016792)". The record is from RNAcentral. Lineage: Eukaryota; Viridiplantae; Streptophyta; Magnoliopsida; Rosales; Rosaceae.